AGCGGAGGAAAAGAAACCAACAGGGAUUGCCCCAGUAACGGCGAGUGAAGCGGCAACAGCUCAAAUUUGAAAUCUGGCGCCCCCCCGCGGGCGCCCGAGUUGUAAUUUGCAGAGGAUGCUUUUGGCGAGGCGCCUUCCGAGUGCCCUGGAACGGGACGCCACAGAGGGUGAGAGCCCCGUCUGGUCGGCCGCCGAGCCUCUGUAAAGCUCCUUCGACGAGUCGAGUAGUUUGGGAAUGCUGCUCUAAUCGGGAGGUAUAUGUCUUCUAAAGCUAAAUACCGGCCAGAGACCGAUAGCGCACAAGUAGAGUGAUCGAAAGAUGAAAAGCACCUUGAAAAGAGGGUUAAACAGUACGUGAAAUUGUUGAAAGGGAAGCGCUCAUGACCAGACUUGGGCCCUGCGGAUCAGCCGGCGGUCCUCCGCCGGCGCACUCCGCCGGGCGCAGGCCAGCAUCAGCUCGCGCCGGGGGACAAAGGCGGCGGGAACGUGGCUCCCCCAGGGGAGUGUUAUAGCCCGCCGCGCAAUGCCCCGGGGGCGGACUGAGGCCCGCGCGCUCCUGCGCAUGGAUGCUGGCGUAAUGGUCAUUAGCGACCCGUCUUG
This 600-nucleotide ribosomal RNA is filed under the name Moelleriella turbinata. RNAcentral's name for it is "LSU rRNA". It matches the Rfam family "Eukaryotic large subunit ribosomal RNA", at positions 49 to 656 of the family's 3401-position model. The record is from RNAcentral. Lineage: Eukaryota; Fungi; Ascomycota; Sordariomycetes; Hypocreales; Clavicipitaceae.